CGGCGUGCCUCGGCAUCAGCGU
RNAcentral lists this small nuclear RNA (22 nucleotides) under Arabidopsis thaliana (thale cress). RNAcentral's name for it is "snRNA_18489". Lineage: Eukaryota; Viridiplantae; Streptophyta; Magnoliopsida; Brassicales; Brassicaceae. The record is from RNAcentral.